Molecule: ribosomal RNA, 253 nt
Filed under: uncultured bacterium
Lineage: Bacteria
Description: partial 16S ribosomal RNA
Rfam family: Bacterial small subunit ribosomal RNA
Source: RNAcentral
UACAGAGGUCUCAAGCGUUGUUCGGAUUCAUUGGGCGUAAAGGGUGCGUAGGUGGCGGGGUAAGUCAGGUGUGAAAUCUCGAGGCUUAACUCCGAAACUGCAUUCGAUACUGCCGUGCUUGAGGACUGGAGAGGAGACUGGAAUUUACGGUGUAGCGGUGAAAUGCGUAGAUAUCGUAAGGAAGACCAGUGGCGAAGGCGGGUCUCUGGACAGUUCCUGACGCUGAGGCACGAGGGUCAGGGGAGCAAACGGG